UUUGUACUCCCUCCGUCCCAAAAUUCUUGUCUUAAAUUUGUCUAAAUACGGAUGUAUCUAGUUACAUUUUAGUGUUAGAUACAUCCCUAUCUAAACAAAUGUAAGACAAGAAUUUUGGGACGGAGGGAAUACUAC
Triticum aestivum (bread wheat) is the source of this 135-nucleotide non-coding RNA. Lineage: Eukaryota; Viridiplantae; Streptophyta; Magnoliopsida; Poales; Poaceae. The record is from Rfam.